RNAcentral lists this ribosomal RNA (445 nucleotides) under uncultured bacterium. RNAcentral's name for it is "partial 16S ribosomal RNA". It matches the Rfam family "Bacterial small subunit ribosomal RNA", at positions 354 to 796 of the family's 1533-position model. The record is from RNAcentral.
GUGAGGAAUAUUGCGCAAUGGAGGCAACUCUGACGCAGCCAUGCCGCGUGCAGGAAGAAGGCGCUACGCGUUGUAAACUGCUUUUAACCGGGAAGAAACCCCAGGACGUGUCCUGGGUUGACGGUACCGGAGGAAUAAGCACCGGCUAACUUCGUGCCAGCAGCCGCGGUAAUACGAAGGGUGCAAGCGUUAUCCGGAUUCAUUGGGUUUAAAGGGUGCGUAGGCGGAGCGUUAAGUCAGUGGUGAAAUCCUGCUGCUUAACUGUAGACUUGCCAUUGAUACUGGCGCUCUUGAGUGCGCUUGAAGUGGGCGGAAUGUGCCGUGUAGCGGUGAAAUGCUUAGAUAUGGCACAGAACACCAAUUGCGAAGGCAGCUCACUAAGGCGAUACUGACGCUGAGGCACGAAAGCGUGGGGAUCGAACAGGAUUAGAAACCCUUGUAGUCC